This 433-nucleotide ribosomal RNA is filed under the name uncultured bacterium. RNAcentral describes it as "partial 16S ribosomal RNA". It matches the Rfam family "Bacterial small subunit ribosomal RNA", at positions 29 to 507 of the family's 1533-position model. The record is from RNAcentral.
AACGAACGCUGGCGGCAUGCCUAACACAUGCAAGUCGAACGAGACCUUCGGGUCUAGUGGCGCGCGGGUGCGUAACGCGUGGGAACCUGCCCUUAGGUUCGGAAUAACUCCCCGAAAGGGGUGCUAAUACCGGAUAAUGUCUUCGGACCAAAGAUUUAUCGCCUUUGGAUGGGCCCGCGUUGGAUUAGCUAGUUGGUAGGGUAAAAGCCUACCAAGGCGACGAUCCAUAGCUGGUCUGAGAGGAUGAUCAGCCACACUGGGACUGAGACACGGCCCAGACUCCUACGGGAAGAAGCAGUGGGGAAUAUUGGACAAGGGGCGAAAGCCUGAUCCAGCAAUGCCGCGUGAGUGAUGAAGGCCUUAGGGUUGUAAAGCUCUUUUACCCGGGAUGAUAAUGACAGUACCGGGAGAAUAAGCUCCGGCUAACUCCGUG